This 213-nucleotide unclassified non-coding RNA is filed under the name plant metagenome. Its description in RNAcentral is "partial contains small subunit ribosomal RNA, internal transcribed spacer 1, and 5.8S ribosomal RNA". The record is from RNAcentral.
UUUCCGUAGGUGAGCCUGCGGAAGGAUCAUUAAAAAUGAAGCCGGGAAACCGGUCCUUCUCACCCUUGAUUAUCUCAAUUUGUUGCUUUGGUGGGCCGCGCAAGCACCGGCUUCGGCUGGAUCGUGCCCGCCAGAGGACCACAACUCUGUAUUAUAUGUCGUCUGAGUACUAUAAAAUAGUUAAAACUUUCAACAACGGAUCUCUUGGUUCUG